Molecule: ribosomal RNA, 433 nt
Filed under: uncultured bacterium
Lineage: Bacteria
Description: partial 16S ribosomal RNA
Rfam family: Bacterial small subunit ribosomal RNA
Source: RNAcentral
AACGAACGCUGGCGGCAUGCCUAACACAUGCAAGUCGAACGAGACCUUCGGGUCUGGUGGCGCACGGGUGCGUAACACGUGGGAAUCUGCCCUUUGCUUCGGAAUAACAGUUAGAAAUGACUGCUAAUACCGGAUGAUGUCGAAAGACCAAAGAUUUAUCGGCAAAGGAUGAGCCCGCGUAGGAUUAGGUAGUUGGUGGGGUAAAGGCCUACCAAGCCGACGAUCCUUAGCUGGUCUGAGAGGAUGAUCAGCCACACUGGGACUGAGACACGGCCCAGACUCCUACGGGAGGCAGCAGUGGGGAAUAUUGGACAAUGGGCGAAAGCCUGAUCCAGCAAUGCCGCGUGAGUGAUGAAGGCCUUAGGGUUGUAAAGCUCUUUUACCAGGGAUGAUAAUGACAGUACCUGGAGAAUAAGCUCCGGCUAACUCCGUG